Long non-coding RNA from Cimex lectularius (bed bug), 196 nucleotides. RefSeq lists it as uncharacterized. Lineage: Eukaryota; Metazoa; Arthropoda; Insecta; Hemiptera; Cimicidae. The record is from RefSeq and is a predicted model, not a curated record. The transcript is spliced from 2 exons.
CGUGUCAACGCCUAAACCGUUGCGGCCAUUGAUGUUCCCGUUAAGCUCACAAGUCGCUAGAGCAAGAAAUAAAUCUCUACGAAAAUUCGGAUGGCAGCUCGAUCGCACAACCCGGUUUUGAAGAUUUUUUGUUUCUCUCUCUCAGAUGUCUAUAGAUUUAUAAAACCCAAAGAGAAAAUAAAUUUCGUUAUUAGUA